AGUGAACGCUGGCGGUAGGCCUAACACAUGCAAGUCGAACGGCAGCACAGUAAGAGCUUGCUCUUACGGGUGGCGAGUGGCGGACGGGUGAGGAAUACAUCGGAAUCUACUUUUUCGUGGGGGAUAACGUAGGGAAACUUACGCUAAUACCGCAUACGCCCUACGGGUGAAAGCAGGGGAUCUUCGUACCUUGCUCGAUUGAAUGAGCCGAUGUCGGAUUAGCUAGUUGGCGGGGUAAAGGCCCACCAAGGCGACGAUCCGUAGCUGGUCUGAGAGGAUGAUCAGCCACACUGGAACUGAGAGACGGUCCAGACUACUACGGGAGGCAGCAGUGGGGAAUAGUGGACAAUGGGCGCAAGCAUGAUCCAGCCAUACCGCGUGGGUGAAGAAGGCCUUCGGGUUGUAAAGAACUUUUGUUGGGAAAGAAAAGCAGCAGGUUAAUACCCCGCUGUUCUGACGGUACCCAAAGAAGAAGCACCGGCUAACUUCGUG
Molecule: ribosomal RNA, 492 nt
Filed under: uncultured bacterium
Lineage: Bacteria
Description: partial 16S ribosomal RNA
Rfam family: Bacterial small subunit ribosomal RNA
Source: RNAcentral